GACAAACGCUGGCGGCGUGCUUAACACAUGCAAGUCGAACGGGUUACCUUCGGGUAGCUAGUGGCGGACGGGUGAGUAACACGUAGUUGACCUGCCCUAUCGUGGGGAAUAACGUCUCGAAAGAGGUGCUAAUACCGCAUAAGUUCACACAUGUUGGUGUGUGAGGAAAGCUCGGUUUAUACCUGGCGCGAUAGGAGGGGACUGCGGCGGAUUAGCUAGAUGGUGGGGUAAUGGCCACCAUGGCGACGAUCCGUAGCUGGUCUGAGAGGACGACCAGCCACACUGGGACUGAGACACGGCCCAAACUCCUACGGGAGGCAGCAGUGGGGAAUAUUGGACAAUGGGCGCAAGCCUGAUCCAGCCAUGCCGCGUGAGUGAUGAAGGCCCUAGGGUUGUAAAGCUCUUUGUGCGGGAAGAUAAUGACGGUACCGCAAGAAUAAG
Molecule: ribosomal RNA, 441 nt
Filed under: uncultured bacterium
Lineage: Bacteria
Description: bacterial SSU rRNA
Rfam family: Bacterial small subunit ribosomal RNA
Source: RNAcentral